RNAcentral lists this ribosomal RNA (109 nucleotides) under Castor canadensis (American beaver). Lineage: Eukaryota; Metazoa; Chordata; Mammalia; Rodentia; Castoridae. The record is from RNAcentral.
GUCUACAGCCAUACCACCCUGAAUGUGCCCAAUCUCAUCUGAUCUCAGAAGCUAAGCAGGGUCGGGCUUGGUUAGUACUUGGAUGGGAGACAGAUCUUCAGAAGAGACU